RNAcentral lists this long non-coding RNA (2166 nucleotides) under Olea europaea subsp. europaea. Lineage: Eukaryota; Viridiplantae; Streptophyta; Magnoliopsida; Lamiales; Oleaceae. The record is from RNAcentral.
CUAGAGUCUCGAAGCCUCCAAACCAAUAAUGUUGAGAGUCUAAAUCUCAGCCAUUGGAUGGGAUCAACGGUCCACAGUAGGCCAAAAGAAGCACAACUCGUGUGAUUGAGUAUCAGCCAAUGUAUGAGUGCCAACUGUCCAAACGGGUACAAGUGAGAUAAAAAUGCAUUUCCACUUAUAAAAGUGUGGUUUGAGAAACACAACUUCACAAUUCUGCACCUUGGUUCUCAAACCAUAUACAUACUCUCUUGUUGCUAUAAUGCAAGUGACGACACCAUACCCUACAUCGUCGUCCAAGUAUUUGCACAGAAAAAUUAACCUGUAUCACUAUUAAGCAGUGAUAAACAAGAUCUAAAUUUAUUAAUAGGCAGUAUUUUAGUGCCCAUAUCAACAGGGUAAAAGUCAGUAUGAAUUUUCUCAAAAUAAGUACAUAAAAAAUGAAUAGUAAAUAAGUAAUAUUUAUGAGUUCUUCAAUAUACGUGGAUAAAAAGUGAUUUGAUGGUUUAUAAAUGAUAGCCAAACAAGGGCUAUUGCUCAUAAAUAGUUGCUCAAGACCUCCUAGAUAGUUAUAGAGAUCUCUAGAGGCACUUGAAAGAGUGGAAUAAAUGUGAGACGUCUUGAUAAUAAAGACUAGUCAUGGGUGAAUUGAAGAAAGAAAAAGUGUGCAAGAAAAGCAAUGCAAAAUUUAAUAUCGAGUAUAUAAAUAGUUCUUCGUCAUUUUAAUUUGCUUGCCUUGAUAGAUUGAUUGGUAAUACGGUGAAAAGAAAGGAUAGGUAUUAUGUUUGGGUGACUUUCAAAAAGCAAAGGAUAACCCUAUCUUUAUUCCAUAUCCCUUUCUUAUUUGUAUUCUUAUUGCAAGUUGCAGGUUAUAAGUUCCAAAAUAUUCUUCAGAAUUCCUUGUAUACAAUCCCAACGAAAAAUUGUGCCUUUUGUCCUCAACCUUUACCGCAUCUUUGAAAUUCAUCCUCAUCCUUGAUAUUCGAACUUUUAAAUCUCCACAUUCUCCGCCUACGACAAACUAUUUUCAACAUUUACCAUAAUCCUUCACAUAAUUUUGAGUUUCCUUUGUCGUUUCCAUGUAUGCUAUAUUUUGCAAACGCUUAUGUACAAUUUUGUUUCUUUAAAGUUUAUGUUGUUUGUUUUAUUUGAUUUUGCACAAGCAUUGUGAAUUUUUAAGUUGGCUUAAACACAAUCUCGAUGCUUGACCUUUGACCCUGUGGCUCCUUCGGAUUUGAGCGUGGAUUGGAAUAUUUGUCAAGUUUCUUUUGUCAAACAUAAGCAAGAAGGAAAAAAUAGAAGUCAAUAAAAGGGAAACACUUAUAAUUGAGGGAAAAAUGAUUAAAAAAGGGCAAUAGUAUUCCAAUAUUUUACGACUUGUGAUCAAUAAGGAAUAAUGGUCUCAAAACAGUGCACACCAUCCAACUCCGGCGCGAACCUUGGUCUCCUCGCCGGCAGGCGACCUUCCGAUUUCUUGGUUUGUGACGAGUCGUUUACUUCUUUGCCCUUCUUAACCUCAUGAAAUUUCUCAGAUAUCCAUUGACUUUGCACUCCCUUAUUAGAAGAGGAAGCCCAAGAAAAGACAACUUUCUGUCCAACAGACUCUGCACAGAGUGCAUCAAAAGAACUGAAAAUUGACAUCAACAUAGCUCUUGUUUGAUUCCAAGAUUGGAGAAAUUUUAACUUAUGAGCUGCUUUUUUUUGCGUUGCUUUGAUUUUUGGAGAAUUGAUCUUGAUUCUUGAUUAUGAAGAAAAUGGUAUUUAUAGAGGGAAAAAUCUGGAAGUUGAAGCGUUGACGGUGAAGGAAGUUUCUACGUUGUUGAUUAGGCCAAUUGGCAUUAUUCCUAAGUUUGGCAGGAUGAUCAAGAUUCGGAUGAAGACUGGUCAAAUACCUAUUUUUCAAAAUUUCUUUCUGAAUUUUCUGGAAGUUACCUAAAACUUAACGAGCAUACAUGACUGGGUCAAACGUGGCAUGUUGUGGUUGGUCAAACUGACGGUUGACAUUAGUUGUAACUAGUAAAUAAAUUACCCUUGAUUGUUUCUCAUUCUUUUCACAUUAAAAUGAAAAAUAUGAUCAUUGUUCAUUAUAUCAAGUCACUGUAUUUAAAUUUCUAUUUUUUUUGUGAGAUUCGUAACGGCUAUAUUUUUCAUUUUCAUUUUUACGUAAAU